This 253-nucleotide ribosomal RNA is filed under the name uncultured bacterium. RNAcentral's name for it is "partial 16S ribosomal RNA". It matches the Rfam family "Bacterial small subunit ribosomal RNA", at positions 524 to 776 of the family's 1533-position model. The record is from RNAcentral.
GACGUAGGGCGCGAGCGUUGUCCGGAUUUAUUGGGCGUAAAGAGCUCGUAGGCGGCUUGUUGCGUCGACUGUGAAAACCCGCAGCUUAACUGCGGGCCUGCAGUUGAUACGGGCAGGCUAGAGUUCGGUAGGGGAGACUGGAAUUCCUGGUGUAGCGGUGAAAUGCGUAGAUAUCUGGAGGAAUGCCGGUGGCGAAGGCGGCAUCCUGGACCGGCAUUGACGCUGAUGAGCGAAAGCUAGGGGAGCAAACGGG